Molecule: ribosomal RNA, 408 nt
Filed under: uncultured bacterium
Lineage: Bacteria
Description: bacterial SSU rRNA
Rfam family: Bacterial small subunit ribosomal RNA
Source: RNAcentral
GACGAACGCUGGCGGCGUGCUUAACACAUGCAAGUCGAGCGGUAAGGCCCUUUCGGGGGUACGACGAGCGGCGAACGGGUGAGUAACACGUGGGUGACCUGCCCUCCAGCUCUGGGAUAAGCCUGGGAAACCGGGUCUAAUACUGGAUAUGACUCCAUGACGCAUGUUGUGGGGUGGAAAGCCUUGUGCGGCUGAGGAUGGGCCCGCGGCCUAUCAGCUUGUUGGUGGGGUGAUGGCCUACCAAGGCGACGACGGGUAGCCGGCCUGAGAGGGCGGACCGGCCACACUGGGAUUGAGACACGGCCCAGACUCCUACGGGAGGCAGCAGUGGGGAAUCUUGCGCAAUGGGCGAAAGCCUGACGCAGCGACGCCGCGUGAGGGAUGACGGCCUGGUGUAACGUACUUCUA